UUUUUUUUUUAAAUAUUAUACAGGGUGUAGCCAGAACGCUAGCACAAACGAAGACAGGUGAUAGUACUAAACAUUACUGAUAUAAGAUACCUCCCAUAAAAUAAACUACGAAAAAGAAAUUUUGAAAUAGCCUUUAUUUUUAAAAGUUUACAAUAUAUUGCAAAUAAAACAUCUGACUAACGCUAGAGGUCAACGAACGUUCCGUAAAUAGGUCACUCGAAGUCAAUGCCGCGUCGUAGGUGGGGCAUUUACCCAAGUUUUGCACGACAAGAUAAGGCAAAUGG
Molecule: long non-coding RNA, 284 nt
Organism: Maniola jurtina (meadow brown)
Lineage: Eukaryota; Metazoa; Arthropoda; Insecta; Lepidoptera; Nymphalidae
Exons: 3
Source: RefSeq, a predicted model, not a curated record